Molecule: long non-coding RNA, 556 nt
Filed under: Bos taurus (domestic cattle)
Lineage: Eukaryota; Metazoa; Chordata; Mammalia; Artiodactyla; Bovidae
Description: long non-coding RNA NONBTAT021807
Source: RNAcentral
UGUUACUUAGGUGAGCAUGUGCUUGAUAGCAUUCCAUUAAGCACACUAAAAUCAUAACAAUUGUGUAUUUAGAGCUCUAGCUUUUUUGUUAAUUUCCUCCAGUUUGCAUUCUAAUUUUUUCUUUUGUGAACUAGAGAUUAACUUUUUUCCCCCAUAGAUAUUUAUAGAAAUCAGAUGAGAUACUUUUCAUAUUGGGUAAAAUUCAUGUAAUUAAGAGUCCAACUUAUCUCUAGAUUUUUUUUAAAUGUAACUAAUUUUCAGCAUUUUCUUAUUUUUUCCAAGUAAUAUAUACAGUAUCAUUCACCUAUGUGCAGAGAGCUGGGAGAAAAAUUCCCCCAAAUUCCAAGUUCAACUAGUCUCUUCUCCCCUGGUUCAUUUCAAUCAGCGUGUACAUUUUUCUUACUAAGACUGAUAAUACAGACAAAACAAAAUUUAAUUAUGUAAUUCAUCUCUUACAGUGAACUACUUAGAGGGACUCUGGGCUGUGAGAUUAUAAUAAAUCUGAAAACUUUCAGUUUUAAGAAUAUCUUCGUUUUCCCAAAUUUCACCCACUGGC